RNAcentral lists this unclassified non-coding RNA (226 nucleotides) under Hevea brasiliensis (rubber tree). Lineage: Eukaryota; Viridiplantae; Streptophyta; Magnoliopsida; Malpighiales; Euphorbiaceae. The record is from RNAcentral.
AGAUUGAGACGUGGUGUCAAGGAGAAGGGAAAAUCGGUACUAGACGGGAUUGGAUCCUGAAGGAUCUUGCUACUGGUGAAGUAAUUGGAAGAGCUACCAGCAAAUGGGUGAUGAUGAACCAAGACACCAGGAAACUUCAACGUGUAACUGACGAGGUGAAGGAAGAAUAUCUCGUCUUCUGUCCAAGAACUCUUCGACUAGCUUUCCCAGAAGAGGACAAUGGCAG